CACUGGCCUUGGCCUCCUGAUAUCACAGUCCUGCCAGAGUUUUUCAAUAAAGCAUUAUCAUUCUCAGGAGGAUGACCUGUGAUGCUGCAGUCCAGAUCCUUGUAGAACAGAGGCUCACAUUGGUAACAGCUGGUAUUGAAGAUGCUUCCAGAAGAUGUUGGCAACUUGACCUGCAUGAACUCUCCUCUACACCUGAAUUCAUCCAGUACCGUCAGUUUGAUUUGUAUUAUGUUGUACCAUCUUCUGUUCUGGUUUCCAGUUUACGCUGAUGGUAAAAUCUCAGUUGUGUUCCUCACACAUCACUGACACCAGCACUCUAUAUUAAAAAUAUCUUUUAACUUUAAAACCAUACUGGUUAGAUGAUCACCACUGAUUUCAACUACAGUAAUAUCAAUAGGUUCAAAAAAUUAGCUUACAGCAACUUCCUCUUAAGACCCAAGCUUUGGUUGGCCUUGCAUUUUAGAUUUCUUCAAAUUAUUUGGGAAAAGGAGUAACCAAUAAAUAUAAUAAUUGGAUAAUAUCAAAUAUCUCAUUAUUAUGUUUAUUAUAUUUAUAUUGUUAUUGUUGUUAUUAUUAUUAAUAUUCUUAUUUUGUUAUUAUUAUUAUUAUUAUUAUUAUUAUUAUUAUUAUUAUUAUUAUUAGUAGUAGUAGUAGUAGUAGUAGUAGUAUUAACAAUACGCUCUUUAAAAAAAAAAGAUGUUUAGGAGGUUAAAAUUUCUUCAUUCAAAUAAUUCUUUGUAAUGAGCAAUUUAUUAGAUUUUAUUUGGGAUUUUUUUAGUAAUGCAAUCAAGGGUCUGUCGACAUCUUUGCCUCAAUCAAACAACAU
Long non-coding RNA from Amphiprion ocellaris (clown anemonefish), 826 nucleotides. The record is from Ensembl. NCBI's taxonomy places the organism in Eukaryota, Metazoa, Chordata, Actinopteri, Pomacentridae.